RNAcentral lists this unclassified non-coding RNA (235 nucleotides) under uncultured fungus. RNAcentral describes it as "partial contains 5.8S ribosomal RNA, internal transcribed spacer 2, and large subunit ribosomal RNA". The stretch from base 1 to 52 matches the Rfam family "5.8S ribosomal RNA", at positions 103 to 154 of the family's 154-position model. Lineage: Eukaryota; Fungi. The record is from RNAcentral.
AACGCACAUUGCGCCCCUUGGUAUUCCGAGGGGCAUGCCUGUUCGAGCGUCAUUAUAGCCCUCAAGCCUAGCUUGGUAUUGGAGUCGCUGUACAGCGGCCCCUAAAAUCAGUGGCGGUGCCUGUAGGUUCUACGCGUAGUAAUUUUUCUCGCUAUAGAUCCCUAUAAGUGCUUGCCAACGACCCCAAUUUUUUCAGGUUGACCUCGGAUCAGGUAGGGAUACCCGCUGAACUUAA